AUUGAACGCUGGCGGCAGGCCUAACACAUGCAAGUCGAGCGGAUGAAGGGAGCUUGCUCCUGGAUUCAGCGGCGGACGGGUGAGUAAUGCCUAGGAAUCUGCCUGGUAGUGGGGGAUAACGUCCGGAAACGGGCGCUAAUACCGCAUACGUCCUGAGGGAGAAAGUGGGGGAUCUUCGGACCUCACGCUAUCAGAUGAGCCUAGGUCGGAUUAGCUAGUUGGUGGGGUAAAGGCCUACCAAGGCGACGAUCCGUAACUGGUCUGAGAGGAUGAUCAGUCACACUGGAACUGAGACACGGUCCAGACUCCUACGGGAGGCAGCAGUGGGAAAUAUUGGACAAUGGGCGAAAGCCUGAUCCAGCCAUGCCGCGUGUGUGAAGAAGGUCUUCGGGUUGUAAAGCACUUUAAGUUGGGAGGAAGGGCAGUAAGUUAAUACCUUGCUGUUUUGACGUUACCAACAGAAUAAGCACCGGCUAACUUCGUG
Molecule: ribosomal RNA, 484 nt
Filed under: uncultured bacterium
Lineage: Bacteria
Description: partial 16S ribosomal RNA
Rfam family: Bacterial small subunit ribosomal RNA
Source: RNAcentral